Gasterosteus aculeatus aculeatus (three-spined stickleback) is the source of this 1579-nucleotide long non-coding RNA. Lineage: Eukaryota; Metazoa; Chordata; Actinopteri; Perciformes; Gasterosteidae. The record is from Ensembl.
CGAAACUCUUCCCUCCGUGUUCUUUUUUUCCACAUUCAAAUGUUAAGGAAAUGAAGUAAAUUUGAGAUUGCUUGUAGGUGCAGGCGAUGCAGCUGUGCAGCACCGUACUGUACGUGCAUUCGGAUGUAUUGUCUAUGAGCUUCGCACUGUAGAUGCUAGAGAUCCAGAAUGAGUGUUUCCAUAUGUCUGCUUCCUGAGCGAGGACCAGCUGCUCACAGCAGCCACAUCAACUGCUGUAGUCGUGUAACUCUGUACAUCAGCAGUUCUUAGGGAGGCAAAAUAGAGACGGAAAAAGCCACUGGACAAGCAUUUGUUAUGCAUCACAUAUGGCUGUGUAUCUUUAUAUAUACGUGUUGUGAUGCCUGUACGUAUUAAUGUGUCCAUCGGUCGACUCGGCUGUGAAUGUCGACGUUAUUACUCAAGCGUUAGGCCUCAGUUUUGCGGUUUAACUUCACUGUCAAAGCUGAUGAUGUAGUUUGAGAAAGAACGCUGUGAAAAGGAGCUGCCGAAAAUAUCUCACCGCCGCUACUUUGAAACUCCCUUUAUGUUUAACAGCCCCGUAAAACAAUGCGCCGACCGCAAAGGUGAAAACACAUCUUGCUCAUGUUCAGCGGUCCGUGAAGUAAAGAUGCAGAUAUUAAGCCAACUGAAUCCGUCAGGAUUAAAAACCAAGAACUCUGUGUUUCCAAAGCGGAUUGUUGAGCAGACUGAGCAGCUCGCCCUGACCUGAGGACGCACCCACGGACCGCACAACACAUCAUGUGCAACGUUCCGUAGCACAUUUGCCUCGCUUUGUCAACAUAAUCGCAGGUGCUGUUGUUGUAAAAUGAGCAAGAAUUGUCUAUUUCAGUCAUUUCUCCUCUGGGGUUUUAUCUCCUGUUGGGUCAAUUUUGGAGGGCUUCUUUUUGUUGGGUAACCAAAAAAACAAAAAUACAGAAUGGAUAAUUCCUUUAAGAAGAAAGGAUGUGAUACUGCAACAGGAUUCAAGACCAAUUCAGCUCCACUUCCUGUCAUUUUAUACUUUAAAAUUCCCUCAAAUCAAAUCAUUCUAUCCCGCUGUCCUCAUGCAAACCUCAUCAACUACCGACUCUUACAUGUUGGAAAUCAUCCCUCUCUCUAUACUGAAUUACUGUAUCCUUUGUGAGGUUAUUUUGUGUAUAAUUGCAUUUGACACUAUUGUAAACAAACCGAGCAGCAGGAGGGAGAAAUUACAGCGAAUAAACAUUCAUUCAUUCGUGUGGGCACAUGAUUUCAGAGGGGGCUUCACCGGCUACGCGCAAUGCUGACAUGCAGAUUGAACAAUUGACGCAAUUAAGGUUUAACAGUUUUAGAAAAAAAAAAAAUGUUGUUCAUGAAUCUUUUCUUUUUCAUGCAAAUAUAUUCCCUUCUGGAUCUACGAGUUCAGCUGCUGCUGAGAAAAAUCGUUACGCACGGAAGCCCAACUCUUGUGAAAUGUGACAACACUGCAUUUCCAGGACAAAAGCCAAGUGAAAUACACUGGAAAUUCUUUAUAUUUUAUUGUAUACAGAUAACAAGACGCCUCACCCACACUACCAGUCACCUUGACACUAUUCUUCCG